This 695-nucleotide unclassified non-coding RNA is filed under the name Hevea brasiliensis (rubber tree). Lineage: Eukaryota; Viridiplantae; Streptophyta; Magnoliopsida; Malpighiales; Euphorbiaceae. The record is from RNAcentral.
GUCCAAUUGGUUCAUUUUUUUUUUUUUAAUAGAUUUGGUUUGGUUGUUAGGAUCAAAAAGACUGAAAUGACUGAAUCAAUAAAAUUUAUUCAUACAUAGUUUUGUCACUUAAUAUUUAUGAGGCUGCCAUUUUAUGUCCACCCAUGAGGUCAUGACCCUUUUGGCUUCAGAUUUUCCCCAUAAAAUCCCUAACCUUAAUGCCCCUUGUGGCUUUUGCAUGCAUUAUUUUCUCCUCUCGCUACUGCCCUCCCUCUUCUAUUCGCUCUCUUUCUCCAUUUCUCUUCUACCUUCAGGCCUUCACUUCCCUAAAUCACCAAUUCAACUUGAGAAAACCCUAGCUUCUCUUGCAUCACGUCCUAGAUUUCCCAAAAUGUUACCUUCACCCCACAGAGACCAAAAUGUUGCCUUCACCUCAAUUUAUUUUCUUGUUUAUAAGAUGGCUGCCAUGGAGAGCUUGAUUGGCCUUGUCAACAACAGAACAGAGAGCAUGUGCUAUCCUAGACGACUAUGGUGGCGAUAUUGCCUCCUCUUCUUUGCCUACCCUUUGGGAGUCUCUUCCUUCUGUUGUCAUCGGCAGCAGCCAGGGCCUCGUUCUCUCUGUGUAUAAUGUUGUGAUUUAUUUUUUUUUUUUAACUCAUUGUAGUGAUUGAAGUGCACUAAUAGAAUUAUUGCAACUUUUUUUUUUUUUUUUUUUU